GGAUGGGAGAACAAACUGGCGGCGACACCUGCCACACUGAUCACCAGGGCUGACUCAGCUGAUCUGGCUGGCUAGGCAGGUUGUCCCCUUCUUCCCUCAUCACUCCACAUUCGUCCCUUACAAAACUGUGAACUCAGUGGAAGGGGAGGGCCAUCCUUCAGGGAAGAGGACCAGUCUUAGGCCAAGAGUUUUGACUAACUAUUCUCUCCUGAUAUAACUUCAAACAAGCUCUCAAUGACUAUCAUGAUUCAAAUUAGCCAUUCUGAAAGGUUGUUU
This is an unclassified non-coding RNA of Mesocricetus auratus (golden hamster), 276 nucleotides long. Its record names the gene 7SK. It matches the Rfam family "7SK RNA". From Rfam's summary of the family: 7SK was discovered as an abundant small nuclear RNA in the mid-70s but a possible function has only recently been suggested. Two independent studies have found that 7SK RNA binds the CDK9/cyclin T complex (known as elongation factor P-TEFb). Lineage: Eukaryota; Metazoa; Chordata; Mammalia; Rodentia; Cricetidae. The record is from Ensembl.